AGCGACAGCCUGAAGGCCUCCAAGUGGGGAGGGCGCUGGAGGAGGGGCCUGAGAGGCAGGCCUUGAUGAAUUGUUUGGAUUUUUUUCUAAGUGCAUUGGAAGCCACAGGAAGAUUUUUUUUUUUUUUUUUUUUUGGAUGGAGUCUCGCUCUGUCGCCCAGGCUGGAGUGCAAUGCGCCAUCUCGGCUCACUGCAACCUUCGCCUCCCGGUUUCAAGUGAUUCUCCGGCCUCAGCCCCCCGAGCAGCUGGGAAUACAGGUGCGUGCCACCACCCCCGAGUAAUUUUUUGUAUUUCUAGUAGAGACAGAGUUUCAUUGUGUUAGCCAGGAUGGUCUUGAUCUCCUGACCUCGUGAUCCGCCCACCUCAGCCUUCCAAAGUGCUGGGAUUACACGCAUGGUUACAGGCCAGCCAUAGGAGGAUCUUUAGAAGGAAAACAGCUGCCCCACGUGGUGGCUCGCACCUGCAUUUCAGCACUUUGGAAGCUGGAGGAGAAAUUAAAUAUCAGAGUUGGAAAGGACAGAAGCAGCCUGAACUCUCAUCCAUAUGAACUCUGUACAACCAUUGUGGAGGGCCAUUGGCAGUACACAGUCAAGUUGAAGGUAAGCAUUCCCCAUAACAUGGUAAUUCCACCUUCUAGAGAAUCACUUGUACAGGUGUGUAAGGAUGCAGGCACAACAAUAUUAGACCUAGCUGGAUUAGAACCAGCAAAAUUUGAAAAUAAACUAAAUCAGGGUCAGCAAACCGGACCACAGACCAAAACUUGUCCACUGCCUGUUUCUAUAAACAAAGUUUUAUUGGAACACAGCUGCGCCCAUUUGUUUGCAUAUUGUCCAAGGCUGCUUUCCGGGUACAACAGCAGAGUUGAGAGACUGCACAGAGAAUGGAUGACCUGUAAAGGCUGAAAUAUUUACAACCUGACUCUGCAGAAAACGCUUGAGACCCUUGAUCUAAAUACUCAUCAGGGAAUACAGAUGAUGCUACAAGCAAUGAAAAUAGUAAACCACAGCUACAUAUGUCGACAUGACUAAAUCUCAAAAAUAAAAUAUUUUCAAAAGCAAGUUACAAAAUGUUACAGUAUGAUGCUAUUUAUAUGAAGCCUGAAUACAUGCACAGAAUGGUAUGCAUGUUUAUGGACAUGUGUGUUUGUAGUAGGAGAAUUAAAAUACGUGGUUGGGCGCCGUAGCUCAUGCCUGUAAUCCUGGCAGUUUGGGAGGCCAAGGUGGGCAGAUCACCUGAGGUCGGGAGUUCAAAACCAGCUUGACCAACAUGGAGAAACCCCAUCUCUACUAAAAACACAAAAUCAGCCGGGCGUGGUGACGCAUGCCUAUAAUCCCAGCUACUCCAGAGACUGAGGCAGGAGAAUCGCUUGAACCUGGGAGGUGGAGGUUGCGGUGACCGAGAUUGCAUCAUUGCACUCCAGCCUGGGCAACAAAAAUGAAACUCCAUCUCAAAAAAAAAAUAAAAGAAUUAAAAUAUGCAUGGAAAUACCCGAAAAAGAGUUCCCACUGGGAAGAAAGAGACUAGGACCAGGGAUCAGGGAGGGGGUUACAUAUAAAACUUCGAUGGUGUCUUUAAUCUUGUUUUUUUUUUAAUGACAUAAUAUGCAAAUAUGGAAAAAUGAUUUCAGCCGGGUGGGGUGGCUCACGCCUGUAAUCCUAGCACUUUGGGAGGCUGAGGUGGGCAGGUCACCUGAGCUCAGGAGACCAGCCUGGCCAACAUAGUGAAACCCCAUCUCUACUAAAAAUACAAAAAAUUAGCUGAGCGUGGUGGAGCGUGCCUGUAGUCCCAGCUACUCGUGAAGCUGAAAUAGGAGAAUUGCUGAACCCAGGAGACGGAGGUUGCAGUGAGCCGAGAUUACACCACUGCACUCCAGCCUGGGCAACAGAGUGAGACGAAAGACUCUGUAUCAAAAAAAAAAAAAAAAAAACGGCCGGGCAUGGUGGCUCACGCCUGUAAUCACUUUGGGAGGCCAAGGUGGGCAGAUCACGAGGUCAGGAGUUCAAGACCAGUCUGGCCAACAUGGUGAAACGCUGCCUCUACUAAAACUACAAAAAAAUUAGCCAGGCGUGGAGGCACGUGCCUGCAGUCCCAGCUACUCAGGAGGCUGAGGAAGGAGAAUCGCUUGAACCCGGGAGGUGGAGGUUGCAGUGAGCCAAGAUCACACCACUAUACUCCAGCUUAGGCAACAGAGCGAGACUCUGCCUCAAAAAAAAAAAAAAAAAAAAAAGAACCUGAGGGUUACUUUAGGGGUCUCCCAUGUCCACUGCAGUUCUAGAAUUCAGUGGCCCAUCAUCAACUGAGUGGAUAAACAAAAUGUGGUCUGUCCACACAAGGGAAUAUUAUUUGGCCCUAAAAAGAAUAAAGUUCUGGCCAGGCACAGUGGCUCACACCUGUAAUCCCAGCACUUUGGGAGGCCGAGGUGAGUGGUUCACCUGAGGUCAGGAUUUCAAGACCAGCCUGGCCAACAUGGCGAAACCUCAUCUGUACUAAAAAUACAAAAAUUAGCCAGGUGUGGUGGCGGGCGCCUGUAAUCCCAGCUACACAGCAGGCUGAGGCAAGAGAAUUGCUUGAACCCAGGUAGCGGAGGCUGUAGUGAGCCGAGGUUGCACCACUGCCCUCCAGCCUGGGCGACAGAGCGAGACUCUGCCUCAAAAAAAAAAAAAAAAAAAAGAAUAAAGUUCUAACCCAUGCUGCCACAUGGAUGGAAUUGGAAGACGUUAUACUCAGUGAAAGAAGCCAGAUUCAGAGGACCACAUCUUGUAUGAUUCCAUUCCCGUGAAAUCUCCGGAACAGGCAAACCCACACAGAUGGAAAAUAGAUUCGUGGCUGCCAGGGGCUGGGGAGAAUGGGAGGGUCCCAGGGAUGAUGGCUAAGGGGUGAGGGCUUCUCUUUGAGAUGAUCAAAACGUUCUAAAAUUGAUUGUGGUGAUGGUUGCACAAUUAUGUGAAUAUACUAAAAAACCAUAGAACUGUACACCUUAAAUGGGUAAACUGUAUGGUAUGCGAAUUCUAUCUCAAUAAAGUUGCUAAAAAAUAAAAGUCUCCAUUUCUCCCCUUGCCCCGCCCCCCAAAAAACACUAAAAUUUUAAUGGUCCUAUAUUCAUUCUUUGAAUGUUCACUCCAUGAGCCAAUGUCCUAGCUAGAAUGAAUCUCCAAGCUGCUUAGAAGAGUUAGGGACAGACUGUCAGAAAACUGGGUGUGGGUAAUUAACUUCUGCUACACCCAAGACAAUCUUUUCUUUUUGCUUUCUUUUUUUUUUUUUUGAGACAGAGAGUCACUCUGUUGCCCAGGCUGGAGUACAGGGGCACCAUCUCUCGGCUCACAGCAACCUCCACCUCCUGGGUUCCAGC
RNAcentral lists this long non-coding RNA (3349 nucleotides) under Homo sapiens (human). Its description in RNAcentral is "HSALNT0001313". The record is from RNAcentral. Lineage: Eukaryota; Metazoa; Chordata; Mammalia; Primates; Hominidae.